GUUUUGGAUUAAAAAAAUAUUAUCUUCUUUGGUACUUUCCAGAAGCAGGUGGCUUAGGACUGAGGGAGAGGAUUCUUCUCUCGAAUAUAUUUUCCCUGCUUAGCGUCAGGGCUGCUGACACAACUCCAUUUAGGAAUAAUUGCAUAAUUCUUCCCAAACAGGAGCUGUCCCGGUGGUUUCCACAGAAGGAGAGUUAGAGACACCCAAGCAAGGCUUGAGGUCUUGGGUACGUGCAGCCCUCCGCAUGUCGGUCCCAGGCAAACCAGGACUCUGACCUCUCCGUCAGAGGACCCGGCUGGUCCAGGUACCGGACACAGCCUCCCCACAACUGUGAUCACCAAAGAGCCAAAGAGGACACACAGGCACCAGUCCUCACAGUGAUGGAGACCUCUCAGCCUACACGGAUGGCCAAAGGACACCGAGGACCCCAGUAUCCUAGGCCGAGCCACUGGCUUCUGGGGACACCUAAACCUGACGAAGAAUCUGCUGAGGGCAGGCAAGUGAUGAGUCUGGCUUUGGGCACCCUGGAGAGCUGGAAGCUUCUAGCAGGAAUACACAACAAAGGCUUGAAAUUCACGAGACAUCUGGCCUAAAGAUACGUAAGUGGGUGUCAUCCACAGACAAGGGGAAAUUUAACCCACAAAAAGCAAGACGGCCCA
This 659-nucleotide long non-coding RNA is filed under the name Fukomys damarensis (Damara mole-rat). RNAcentral describes it as "lncRNA (ENSFDAG00000027214.1)". Lineage: Eukaryota; Metazoa; Chordata; Mammalia; Rodentia; Bathyergidae. The record is from RNAcentral.